Molecule: ribosomal RNA, 377 nt
Filed under: uncultured bacterium
Lineage: Bacteria
Description: bacterial SSU rRNA
Rfam family: Bacterial small subunit ribosomal RNA
Source: RNAcentral
UAAUACGUAGGUGGCAAGCGAUACUCGGAAUCACUAGGCGUAAAGCGCAGGUAGGCGGUUUGGUAAGUCUUUUGUGAAAGCUCCCGGCUUAACUGGGAGAGGUCAAGGGAAACUACCGGACUAGAGUGUGGUAGGGGAUACUGGAAUUCCUGGUGUAGCGGUGAAAUGCGUAGAUAUCAGGAGGAAUACCUAUGGCGAAAGCAGGUAUCUGGGCCAUCACUGACGCUGAGCUGCGAAAGCUAGGGGAGCAAACAGGAUUAGAUACCCUGGUAGUCCUAGCCCUAAACGAUGCUCAUUAGAUGUGGGAGGUAUCGACCCCUUCCGCGUCGCAGCUAACGCAUUAAAUGAGCCGCCUGGGGAGUACGGCCGCAAGGUUG